CAAUAGCGUAUAUUAAAGUUGUUGCAGUUAAAAAGCUCGUAGUUGGAUUUCUGGGAGGGUGCCGAUGUCCGCUUAACGUGUGUGCAGCGGCGCCCUCUCAUCCUUCUGUUAGCGUCUCUUGGCAUUCAUUUGCUGGUGGCGGGCUCAGAUAUUUUACCUUGAGAAAAUUAGAGUGUUUCAGGCAGGCUAGGCCGGAAUACAUUAGCAUGGAAUAAUGGAAUAGGACUACGGUCUCUUUGUUGGUUUGAGGGACUGCAGUAAUGAUUAAUAGGGAUAGUUGGGGGCAUUAGUACUUAACUGUCAGAGGUGGAAUUCUCAGAUUUGUUAAAGACUGACUUAUGCGAAAGCAUUUGCCAAGGAUGUUUUCAUUAAUCAAGAACGAAAGUUAGGGGAUCAAAGACGAUCAGAUACCAU
This 414-nucleotide ribosomal RNA is filed under the name uncultured eukaryote. RNAcentral describes it as "SSU rRNA". It matches the Rfam family "Eukaryotic small subunit ribosomal RNA", at positions 592 to 1018 of the family's 1831-position model. The record is from RNAcentral.